Molecule: long non-coding RNA, 1977 nt
Organism: Bos indicus x Bos taurus (hybrid cattle)
Lineage: Eukaryota; Metazoa; Chordata; Mammalia; Artiodactyla; Bovidae
Source: Ensembl
GGGGAUGAUGAUGUCCUGUCUGCUCUCGUCGUCUGCUCAAAGAAUAAUAUCCCAGCAUUGAGAAGGGGAAAGCAUCUAUUUGGUGUGACCAGUGGCAUCGCAGCGUCAUUACUGAGACCCAUGGCCACCAUUCGAGGGCACGAGUGACAUGAAAUGAAGACUCACCUGACCCUUUCAAGGGAAAUCCACGUCCCUGUGGGCACCUGGGAGAACCCGCAGCAGACACAGCACUGUCUCCAGAACUGCCAUCUCCUCAGUCCUGUGGGGAGAAGACAGCAAAGGCGACCCCUUGACCCACGUGGCUGCAGGCCCAGUGUGGACUUCUGGUUAUUAGCUGAGGAGGAGUUGCUGCAUGUGGGGCUGACUCCAGCACUUCUCAGCGGUCACUUCAUUUGUUUUCUGCAGCCUUUCAAAUUUCAGUGGCCUUAAAUAAUCCUGCUGUAUUUAAAAAGAACACACUGGAAGUGACCCUCUGUCUUAGGUCAGCUCUGCGUCAGCAGGUCCUCCACUUGCUCCUGAUUUUCUCCAACAGCAAGAACACUCGCCACCUUACUCACAAAGCACAGAGCAGUCUCUUUAACAAAGACUUUUCAUUCUAGAGUCUAACUAGAUGUGAUAGAGUUGAAGUUGAUUAUCUAAUCGGAUAGAAUCUAAAAGUUCAGUUUAUCAAAAAAAAAAGUAAGUAUAUCCAUAGACUUUUAAGCAAUCUGUUACUCUACUUAACACUUGCAGAAAGUUUUAAGGUAUUUUAAAAAGUGCAACACAGUUCUGCUUUAGAACAUGCCAAGUCCUUGAUUAUUGCCAGCUUUUCUACACUAUUUAGGUUGUCAAAUGUCACUGAAUUUAUGAUUAUUUCCAAGUAAGUUUUAUACCAUGCUUAUAGCAUAAACAAGGACAGCAUCAAUAAUAGUGGCCGUGUGAUGGUCAUCGGCUCUGGGGCUGCCCCAGGCCACCCCCACACUCAGCCUGACGCAAGAGGGAUGGGAGGUGGUGUUCCGUGUAAGCACCUUGUUUUAGAAAUGCCUGUCCUCCUAAAGAGGAUUCCUGCAAAUCACUUUUGCUGAAUUGAAUUGAAAUUGAAAUUAGCUGCUGAGGUCCAAGUGAAGUCUAACCUGGGUGGAUCAAGAACAUUUCUUUUUUUUUUUUUUAAAGAUAGAAUUUUAUUUUCUUUAUUUUGGGGGCCACGCCACAUGGCUUGUGAGAUCUUAGUUCUCUGAUCGCAGGCCCUUGGCAGUAAAAGCACAGAGUGCUAACCACUAGACCGCCAGGAAUUCCCAUACAACUUUUCUGAUUUCAACUGCAUCUCAGGCAUAGACAGCUUUGCUGAUAAAUCUGAUGCUCCAGAAGAAUGUUAUCACCCAGAAGCUCUCGCUUCAAUGUGAAUUUUCACCAGGACUUUACUGGUUUUUCGGAGAGGUAAUAAGUGUAGAUACAAAGGGCUGGGUCCUCCAGGUGCUAGAAAUGUCCCCACCGAGGCCUGGGGACAGAUGUGUCCUGUUUUUGUUUAAUCUAUGCCCUCAUUGAAAAUUUUUUAUAUAGAGCGGACACCUUACCAUUUCAUUGUAAAGACGCUAUUAUGCAUCUUAAGAGAUAAAGAUCUAAAAGAAAAUACGUAACCGUAAUGCUAUCUUAUUCUAAAUGAAAUUGACACUGAAAAAUAAGUUGUAUUUUACUGUGUGUCAUGUAUACUUCAGUUUAUAAAGAGAGAGAGAAAAAUGGACAGGAUCAGAAGUUAUUUUGGGGAGAGAGGAGAGGAUAGAAAAGGAGUGAGGGAAAGGAAGGGGGUGGGAGGAAAAGGGGGGCUCUGCAGGUGUAGCCCCUGCACCUCCUUCUCUGUCUGUAAGUGGGAGCCUAGUUCUUCCUGCUUGGGGUUCUUGGGGGAGAUUAAAUGAGACAGUGCAACAAGCACUUGGUCCAGUACCUGCUGUAUAUCACGGGCUCAAUAAAUGGUAGCUGUUAUUAAUAUUAUUAACUAUA